UUCCUUUCCUUUCCUUUCCUUUCCUUUCCUUUUCACAUAAAAAUCCUCAAAAUAAUGAGCUUUUUUGAAGAAAAUCUUGCUUUGUGUUUCCUGAAAAAUUAUGCACUGCUGAAUUAAAUGGUUAUCUAUCAGUUUCCAAGGGGCGUAUAUGUUUUUAAAAAGUCAGCUAGAUGUUCUAUGCAAAACAGAACAGACCUUCUAGACUCAACUUUUAAUCUCUGGUGCUAUAGACUAGCAUGUAACUAUGAUUAUUAUUGUAUCUGUAAUAACUAAUGUCAAGUGUAGACUGAGGGGAUCAAAUAGGCCUGUCAGUGCAUUUUUACCAGACAAUUUAACACAUAAACACUUGCCUCUAUGUUUCUUUCCAGGUUUUGAAUUGUUACAACUAGUAGGUGCAUAAUAAUUCAGCAGUACUGUUUACCGACUUCACCUGUUACAGUCCUUUUCAUUUACACACAAUUUGCACUAUCUUACUCUGUAUCAGAAAAUCAAGAGCAUAUUAUUAAUGUGUAAUUAAUAACUUACACUAAAUUCCAUCUCAACUAUUUAUUAUUCAGAGAUUCUUAAAUGUUAGUAUGGCAAAUAUCCAUAUUUUAUCUGUUACAGAUGAAGAAAUUACACUCAUGGUUCAGUGUAAUCCAUUCAUUGAUUCACAGAUCCCAGAGACCUUCAGGCAAUGUGACAAAUACACAUAAUUUCCCUGAGUACUAGGUUGUAUGUUUGUGUAUCUGAUUAAGUUAAAAAAAAUCAUUUAAAAAUAUAUAAAUUCCUCAUUUAGCCAGACAGAUCACUAUGGCUACACAUCUCAUAAGUCUCUGGAGCAUUUUGUUAUUCUAAGCUAAGUUGACAGGAAUUUACACUCAAUAAAUUGGUUCUAGAUCUGCCCAUUUCAGAUGCUAUCACAAAGACAAGGUUUUAUGUGAAAUUCUUUUACCUUUAGUCAGUGUAUUCCUUUUAAGAGAUUUGCCAUUACAAAUGCAGAUGAUAUGGAGACAAAAAGAUUCCCUUGCUCUCCAAAGCAUGACAGAAUCUGAUGGAUCAACAGUUUGUACAUAAGCUGUUUUGCUAAAAUCAAAUCAAUCCAAAUCAAACCAUCCUUUUUUCAAUUUUUUAAAGAGAAGGUUCUAGAUCUGUGGCAAAAUCAUGCGUAUAUCAUUCACAAUGUAUUAAUAGAUCUUCUACUUGAUGCAGAAAACAGUCUCUGUAAAGAGAUACAAUUAUUUAUUAUUUUUAACUGUCUAGGUUUUAACUGAAAUAAUUUUCUUCAUAGUAGCUGGUAUUAUGCUGUGUCUUGGAUUUAACAGAAAAACAAUAUUGAUAACACACUGAUGUGUUGCAACACAAGUGUCACAGGUGUCAGUUUUUUUCUGAGUAGUGCUUUCAUGAACUCAAGAACUUUUCUGCUUCUUGCACUGCUCUGCCAGCAAGGAGCCAGCAGAGUACAAGAAGCUGGGUGGUGACACAGCCAGGAUGCCUGAACCCAAAUUGGCCACAGGGGUAUUCCAUACUGUAUGGCAUCAUGCUGAGUAAUAAAACCUGGGAGGGUAUUGAGCAGGGCAGGGACUACUGCCUGGGGACUGGGUCAGUAUUGGUAAGUGGAUAGGGGGCAGCUGCAUUGUACAUCACUUGUUCUGUAAAUUCUUUUUAUUAUUGUUGUUGUUAUUAUUCUCCCUUCCUUUUCUGUCCUAUUACAUUGUAUUUAUCUAAACCCUUGAGUCUUACCUUUUUCCAAUUCUCUCACCCAUUCCACUGCUAAUCGCAAGAGUAAGUGAAGGGUUGUGUGGUGUUUAACUGCCUGCUGGAUUAAACCUCAACAGUCCUUUUGGCUACUAACAUAGGGCCCAAAGAGCUGAUCUAGCAACAGAUCUGACCAGAGUAUGUUAAAACAAAUUUAUUAGAGGAACUAUGUUAGUUUAAUAGUUGCUGGCCACAAUGUUAAUUUAUUCAUUCACAAUGUGGUUUUAUUUGCUUUCAAGGUUGUUUUUAUUAAUUCAUUUAUUGUCUGGGGUCUGGCCUGAGUUUGUUUAUAGUUUUGCCAGUUUGUAUUUACUAUAUAAAUAGCAUGCAUUCAUUUAAAACCAACUGUGAUCUUAAUCCGGUCUUUGUACUCAGUAUGGCCAUCAUCUCACACUUCAGGAAACACUGUGGAAACUACUACUAAGUCAACUCUUUAUUCACAACUUCCUGCACCUAUGGAUGGAGAGUUCCUGCUCACUACAUAAAGCUUCCUUAAAGAUCUUCCAGCUCUGCUCCUCUCCCUUGACCUUGAGGACAGUUUCCCAGAGGGUUUUGUUGAGUAACUCCCUGAGGAGCUGGAAUUUGGCUUUCCUAGAAUUUAGCAUCCUGACUUUGCUCUUUGUCUGUCUCAUAUCUCUCAAGAGUGUGAACUCCACCACUGCAUGACUAGCUGACCCAAAACGUGUGACAAGCCCUGAGGCUGAGCCAGAGAACCAACUCGUGCCAAUAUCAGUCAUCCCUGUAUUCAAGAAGAAACAAUUGGACGUGAAAGUCAGCUCAUUUAGUAAGAGAAGAAACUCCUACUAAGAAGGGAAAGGAGGAAGAAAAGGACAAGGAAAGCUACUCCAAAGCAAGGCCAUCACAGGAAUAGGAGGAGGAAGUGGCAGAUAUGAUAAAAAAAGCAGUAACCACUGGAUACCUAUCCAUGAAUGAGCUGAAAGAUAUGUGAAAAAAUUUCAGCCAUUGUUCAGGCAAGCGUAUUCUCACCUGGCUGCUUUGAUGUUGAGCUAAUGGAGCUGAUAGGCUAGAAUUAGAAGGCAGUGAAGCCAGGCAGCUGGGAUCCCCGUCUAGGGAAGGGGACACUGACAAACAAUUUGAAAAGAGACACAAGCCCUCAGCCUCGGGAGGUGACUCCUGCCAGGCAUGAGGGAAAGGUAAAAUUUAGAUCUUAUAAUAAUAAGGCCUCGAGUAUGAAGAACUAGUCCUAUGUGCGGUUCAAAGUUCUUUGAUAUGUUACGGCUUUAUACAGAAUAAUAGCUUGUUACAAAUGGAUUAAUUUAGUCCAGCAAUUCGCUGUCUUUUUUUUUAGGGCAGUUGCAAAGAAAGACGGCUUGACUGUUUGCAAAUCGUAAAUUCAUAGGACUAAAAGAAGGCUCAAAAGAAAAACAACAAAAAUUAUAAAUGGAUAUGAAAGUGUGAAAUUAAGAAAAUGGAAUUUAGACUUAAAGACGAGAAAUAGGUUUCUCAUGAUACUAUCAAUUAGACUGGAAACAUUAAAACAAAAAAAUGGAAGCAUUGAAACUAAAAAGGAAAUAAUUUAUAAGGUACAGCUCAGCAUGGGAAAAAAAGGAUAUUAUAAAUAAUGUAAUAGUUCUUUUUAUUUCUAUCUUUGCUAGCCCUGUGAUUAUGAAUGGACAUCAUUUUAAGAGAAAGGAGGGAAAAUGUGCUUUGUUAUAAUGACAGUGAUAUUUCUAUGUGUGUGUAUAUAUGUCUGAGAAAAAAAAAAUGCUGCUGUGAAAUUGCCUUUAUCUCUAUAUAUCUUAGUAUUUGAAGGAAGUACAGGAAGGAAAAACUCCAUACUUUUAGUGAAAAUGCAUUAUAGAAGUCCAUGGACACCAGCUGCGUGGUCUCCAGACAAACUUGCAGUUGCAGGAUGAGGUCAAAAAUGUCUAGUAACCUCUGGUACGAGCAUCCUCUGUGACUUAAAAUCAAUGAAGUAUUGGAAAUAACAAAAAUGUCCCUUGCCUCUCUCCCUUUCUGUCAGGUGGGUGACACAGGUAGUGUCUUUAUUACUUCCAUUAGCUUUGUGCCACUUGAGGAAAUUGUUUUUCAUGGUGUGAAUUGAAUUUAGCCUACUAAUAUCUGUUCCUUUGACUUUUAUUGUUAACAAUCUGUUUUAAUUUCAGAAAAACCUGACAUUAUACAAGAUAUAGUAUUAUUCAUAUAUAUCGAUAUUUAUGGACUUUAUUUCCUUAAUCUGAGUCAAUGUAAAUGGACUUUGCACCAUUUUGCUAGUUACUGGCAAUGGUAUGUUUGUAGAAGCUUUUAUUCUUCUCUCUCACAGCAGGCUGAUAAGAUUCAUUGCUAGAGCGUAAUAUUUUUGCCCCCCUUUUGCACUUGAAAGGUAUUAAUUUGCAUGUAUUUAUCUUUCUGUUCAUAUUACAGCUUUCAGCUAGACCAUUAUUUGUCGAAGUGCUUCUUUAUGGUGCUCCUCAGAACUAUAUCAAUUCCAUUAGUCAUAUUACUCUGCAAGACCCCUUUUGUCUCAAAUAAAAUUGAUCCCUCUGCUUCUUUAAACAUAUACACAUAUCCAUAGCAGUCUGAAUAUAUUAGGAAGAGUAACAGGUGAAAUAUAAAAUAUUUUUAUAUGCAUAGAAUAAAAGAAUUAUGUUUGUUUA
Long non-coding RNA from Numida meleagris (helmeted guineafowl), 4355 nucleotides. RefSeq lists it as uncharacterized. Lineage: Eukaryota; Metazoa; Chordata; Aves; Galliformes; Numididae. The transcript is spliced from 2 exons. The record is from RefSeq and is a predicted model, not a curated record.